GCCUCUGUAGCUCAGUUGGUAGAGCAGGGGACUGAAAAUCCCCGUGUCGAUGGUUCGAUUCCGUCCGGAGGCACCA
RNAcentral lists this transfer RNA (76 nucleotides) under Clostridium sp. RNAcentral describes it as "tRNA-Phe". It matches the Rfam family "tRNA". Rfam says of the family: Transfer RNA (tRNA) molecules are approximately 80 nucleotides in length. Their secondary structure includes four short double-helical elements and three loops (D, anti-codon, and T loops). Further hydrogen bonds mediate the characteristic L-shaped molecular structure. tRNAs have two regions of fundamental functional importance: the anti-codon, which is responsible for specific mRNA codon recognition, and the 3' end, to which the tRNAs corresponding amino acid is attached (by aminoacyl-tRNA synthetases). tRNAs cope with the degeneracy of the genetic code in two manners: having more than one tRNA (with a specific anti-codon) for a particular amino acid; and 'wobble' base-pairing, i.e. permitting non-standard base-pairing at the 3rd anti-codon position. RNAcentral also lists the same sequence under 17 other names. The record is from RNAcentral. Lineage: Bacteria; Bacillati; Bacillota; Clostridia; Eubacteriales; Clostridiaceae.